AAGUCGUAACAAGGUCUCCGUAGGUGAACCUGCGGAGGGAUCAUUAACACGUUUAUUUCACUAUAAACGUAUCUAUACCAAAUCAAUAGAAAUGAAAGUAGAGACCAAUAAAGAUAGUAAUAUCAUUAUGAAUCAAUACUUAGUUACUCUCCCUAGCUAUACUAUUUAUUUAGUAUACUUAGGCUAUUUUCCUUUUAUAAACCCUUUUCCAACACUGUAAUAAUCAUCCAUUGACUUAUAUGUGAGUAUACAUGUAUACUCUUACAUUGAUAUUUUAAAUGUUAAAAGCACAACUCUUAGCAACGGAUAUCUUGGUUCUC
RNAcentral lists this unclassified non-coding RNA (320 nucleotides) under fungal sp. RNAcentral's name for it is "partial internal transcribed spacer region". The stretch from base 1 to 46 matches the Rfam family "Eukaryotic small subunit ribosomal RNA", at positions 1786 to 1831 of the family's 1831-position model. The record is from RNAcentral. Lineage: Eukaryota; Fungi.